RNAcentral lists this ribosomal RNA (1149 nucleotides) under Plasmodium knowlesi. RNAcentral's name for it is "SSU rRNA". It matches the Rfam family "Eukaryotic small subunit ribosomal RNA", at positions 604 to 1460 of the family's 1831-position model. The record is from RNAcentral. Lineage: Eukaryota; Apicomplexa; Aconoidasida; Haemosporida; Plasmodiidae.
UUAAAAUUGUUGCAGUUAAAACGCUCGUAGUUGAAUUUCAAAGAAUCGAUAUUUUAAGUAACGCUUCUAGCUAAUAAAUCCACAUAACUGAUGCCUCCGCGUAUCGACUUUGUGCGCAUUUUAGCUAUUAUGUGUUCUUUUAAUUAAAAUGAUUCUUUUUAAGAUUCAUCUAUUAAAAAUUUGCUUCGGCAUAAUUUUUUUUGAUGAUCUUGUUACUUUGAGUAAAUUAGAGUAUUCAAAGCAAACAGAUAUAGCAUUUGUGCGUUUGAAUACUACAGCAUGGAAUAACAAAAUUGAACAAGUCAGAAUUUUUUUGUUCUUUUUUCUUAUUUUGGCUUAGUUACGAUUAAUAGGAGUAGCUUGGGGACAUUUGUAUUCAGAUGUCAGAGGUGAAAUUCUAAGAUUUUCUGGAGACAAACAACUGCGAAGGCAUUUGUCUAAAAUACUUCCAUUAAUCAAGAACGAAAGUUAAGGGAGUGAAGACGAUCAGAUACCGUCGUAAUCUUAACCAUAAACUAUACCGACUAGGUUUUGGAUGAAAGUAAAACAAAUAAGGAUAGUCUCUUCGGGGAUAGUUCUUAGAUUUCUUCCUUCAGUACCUUAUGAGAAAUCAAAGUCUUUGGGUUCUGGGGCGAGUAUUCGCGCAAGCGAGAAAGUUAAAAGAAUUGACGGAAGGGCACCACCAGGCGUGGAGCUUGCGGCUUAAUUUGACUCAACACGGGAAAACUCACUAGUUUAAGACAAGAGUAGGAUUGACAGACUAAUAGCUCUUUCUUGAUUUCUUGGAUGGUGAUGCAUGGCCGUUUUUAGUUCGUGAAUAUGAUUUGUCUGGUUAAUUCCGAUAACGAACGAGAUCUUAACCUGCUAAUUAGCAGUAAGUACAACAUAUUUCUAUGCUGAAUUUGUAUUUGGAUAAUUUAAAAGGUUUUUUUGCCGUGCAUAUAAUGAGUACGGAAAAAAUGCAUACUGCUACCUUGUACCUAAUAAUACUUGGCGCCUAUGCAUAUUUCCAACCCUCUAUUCCCUGUACCGCAUAAAACUGGAUUAUGAUGCCAUUUCACUUUUAUGUAGAAAUGUAUUUGCUUUUACAUAAAGCUUCUUAGAGGAACGAUGUGUGUCUAACACAAGGAAGUUUAAGGCAACAACAGG